This 346-nucleotide ribosomal RNA is filed under the name uncultured eukaryote. RNAcentral's name for it is "SSU rRNA". It matches the Rfam family "Eukaryotic small subunit ribosomal RNA", at positions 594 to 945 of the family's 1831-position model. The record is from RNAcentral.
AUAGCGUAUAUUAAAGUUGUUGCAGUUAAAAAGCUCGUAGUUGAACCUUGGGCCUGGCUGGCCGGUCCGCCUCACCGCGUGCACUGGUCCGGCCGGGCCUUUCCUUCUGGCUAGCCACAUGCCCUUCACUGGGUGUGUCGGGGAACCAGGACUUUUACUUUGAAAAAAUUAGAGUGUUCAAAGCAGGCCUAUGCUCGAAUACAUUAGCAUGGAAUAAUAGAAUAGGACGUGUGGUUCUAUUUUGUUGGUUUCUAGAGUCGCCGUAAUGAUUAAUAGGGAUAGUUGGGGGCAUUAGUAUUCAGUUGCUAGAGGUGAAAUUCUUGGAUUUACUGAAGACUAACUACUG